RNAcentral lists this unclassified non-coding RNA (272 nucleotides) under plant metagenome. RNAcentral's name for it is "partial contains small subunit ribosomal RNA, internal transcribed spacer 1, and 5.8S ribosomal RNA". The record is from RNAcentral.
UUUCCGUAGGUGAACCUGCGGAAGGAUCAUUAAUGAGUUGUCAUGGGGUUCGAUGCUGGCAGCCAGUUUUUGGAUGCAUGUGCUUACCCUAACAAUCAUCUUCUUCCAAACACCUGUGCACAUUUUUGAGGGAGUCUUGAGUUGGUUGCCGCUCUUGGGUGAUUUUCUCACAUUCCCUUAAAUCAUUAUACGCUAUUAACAAUGUUGAACGUGCUCUGUGCCGCAAGGCCAUUAAUAUAAUACAACUUUUAACAACGGAUCUCUUGGCUCUC